Molecule: unclassified non-coding RNA, 272 nt
Filed under: plant metagenome
Description: partial contains small subunit ribosomal RNA, internal transcribed spacer 1, and 5.8S ribosomal RNA
Source: RNAcentral
UUUCCGUAGGUGAACCUGCGGAAGGAUCACUAAUGAGUUGUCAUGGGGUUCGAUGCUGGCAGCCAGUUUUUGGAUGCAUGUGCUUGCCCUAACAAUCAUCUUCUUCCAAACACCUGUGCACAUUUUUGAGGGAGUCUUGAGUUGGUUGCCGCUCUUGGGUGAUUUUCUCACAUUCCCUUAAAUCAUUAUACGCUAUUAACAAUGUUGAACGUGCUCUGUGCCGCAAGGCCAUUAAUAUAAUACAACUUUUAACAACGGAUCUCUUGGCUCUC